RNAcentral lists this ribosomal RNA (490 nucleotides) under uncultured bacterium. Its description in RNAcentral is "partial 16S ribosomal RNA". It matches the Rfam family "Bacterial small subunit ribosomal RNA", at positions 30 to 507 of the family's 1533-position model. The record is from RNAcentral.
AUUGAACGCUGGCGGCAGGCCUAACACAUGCAAGUCGAACGGUAACAGGAAACAGCUUGCUGUUUCGCUGACGAGUGGCGGACGGGUGAGUAAUGUCUGGGAAACUGCCUGAUGGAGGGGGAUAACUACUGGAAACGGUAGCUAAUACCGCAUAACGUCGCAAGACCAAAGAGGGGGACCUUCGGGCCUCUUGCCAUCGGAUGUGCCCAGAUGGGAUUAGCUAAUAGGUGGGGUAACGGCUCACCUAGGCGACGAUCCCUAGCUGGUCUGAGAGGAUGACCAGCCACACUGGAACUGAGACACGGUCCAGACUCCUACGGGAGGCAGCAGUGGGGAAUAUUGCACAAUGGGCGGAAGCCUGAUGCAGCCAUGCCGCGUGUAUGAAGAAGGCCUUCGGGUUGUAAAGUACUUUCAGCGGGGAGGAAGGGAGUAAAGUUAAUACCUUUGCUCAUUGACGUUACCCGCAGAAGAAGCACCGGCUAACUCCGUG